RNAcentral lists this ribosomal RNA (492 nucleotides) under uncultured bacterium. RNAcentral describes it as "partial 16S ribosomal RNA". It matches the Rfam family "Bacterial small subunit ribosomal RNA", at positions 29 to 507 of the family's 1533-position model. The record is from RNAcentral.
AGUGAACGCUGGCGGUAGGCCUAACACAUGCAAGUCGAACGGCAGCACAGUAAGAGCUUGCUCUUACGGGUGGCGAGUGGCGGACGGGUGAGGAAUACAUCGGAAUCUACUUUUUCGUGGGGGAUAACGUAGGGAAACUUACGCUAAUACCGCAUACGACCUACGGGUGAAAGCAGGGGAUCUUCGGACCUUGCGCGAUUGAAUGAGCCGAUGUCGGAUUAGCUAGUUGGCGGGGUAAAGGCCCACCAAGGCGACGAUCCGUAGCUGGUCUGAGAGGAUGAUCGGCCACACUGGAACUGAGACACGGUCCAGACUCCUACGGGAGGCAGCAGUGGGGAAUAUUCGACAAUGGGCGCAAGCCUGAUCCAGCCAUACCGCGUGGGUGAAGAAGGCCUUCGGGUUGUAAAGCCCUUUUGUUGGGGAAGAAAAGCAGCAGGUUAAUACCCCGCUGUUCUGACGGUACCCAAAGAAUAAGCACCGGCUAACUUCGUG